RNAcentral lists this long non-coding RNA (278 nucleotides) under Setaria viridis. RNAcentral's name for it is "long non-coding RNA (SVIR_LNC010310)". The record is from RNAcentral. Lineage: Eukaryota; Viridiplantae; Streptophyta; Magnoliopsida; Poales; Poaceae.
GGAAGUACAUCUCGAGCUGGGCCUGAGUUUCCAACACAAAUAGCUGAAGCCUAGCCAACUCGACACAAUCGAUUACUUUCUGCGAAAUCACAUUGAAGAAGUAACACAUUCGUGUGAUAACCAUCUUUACGAAUACUAGUUUGAUUGCCCGGAUCACAAUAGCAAGAAAAACUAUGAUUCUCACAUGGCAAUCAUAAGAGUUAUGGCCGGCAAGCGUCAUGUCCUUCAAUGAGAUUAUUGACCGGAUGUUUGAUGAGAAUCCGGUCGGCACUUUCAAC